CCUACGGGUGGCAGCAGUGGGGAAUAUUGCUCAAUGGGCGCAACCCUGAUCCAGCGACGUCGCGUGAGUGAUGAAGGACCUCGGUAUUGUAAACUUUAUUUGUAGGGGAGUAAAGUUCGGCACGUGAGUCUUUUUCUCUGUACUUUAUCAAUACGGAUCGGCUAACUCCGUGCCAGCAGCCGCGGUAAUACGGAGGGGCCGGGCGUUAUCCGGAUUUAUUGGGUUUAAAGGGAGCGUCGAUGGGUGUAUAAGUAUGGAGUGAAAGGUCGGGGCGCAACCGUACAAUUGCAGUUGAUACUGGCAGGCUUGAGUACAGGAGAGGUAGGCGGAAUUCGUGGUGUAGCGGUGAAAUGCGUAGAUAUCACGAAGAACUCCGAUGGCGAAGGCAGCUUACUGAACUGCAACUGACGUUGAGGCUCGAAAGCGUGGGUAGCAAACAGGAUUAGAUACCCCUGUAGUC
RNAcentral lists this ribosomal RNA (460 nucleotides) under uncultured bacterium. Its description in RNAcentral is "partial 16S ribosomal RNA". It matches the Rfam family "Bacterial small subunit ribosomal RNA", at positions 338 to 795 of the family's 1533-position model. The record is from RNAcentral.